RNAcentral lists this ribosomal RNA (405 nucleotides) under uncultured bacterium. Its description in RNAcentral is "bacterial SSU rRNA". It matches the Rfam family "Bacterial small subunit ribosomal RNA", at positions 271 to 673 of the family's 1533-position model. The record is from RNAcentral.
AGGCUACGAUCAGUAGGGGUUCUGAGAGGAAGGUCCCCCACAUUGGAACUGAGACACGGUCCAAACUCCUACGGGAGGCAGCAGUGAGGAAUAUUGGUCAAUGGACGAGAGUCUGAACCAGCCAAGUAGCGUGCAGGAUGACGGCCCUAUGGGUUGUAAACUGCUUUUAUAAGGGAAUAAAGUGAGUCUCGUGAGACUUUUUGCAUGUACCUUAUGAAUAAGGACCGGCUAAUUCCGUGCCAGCAGCCGCGGUAAUACGGAAGGUCCGGGCGUUAUCCGGAUUUAUUGGGUUUAAAGGGAGCGUAGGCCGGAGAUUAAGCGUGUUGUGAAAUGUAGAUGCUCAACAUCUGCACUGCAGCGCGAACUGGUUUCCUUGAGUACGCACAAAGUGGGCGGAAUUCGUGG